CGACCGGCGCACGGGUGAGUAACACGUAUGCAACCUGCCCUCUUCAGGGGGACAACCUUCCGAAAGGGAGGCUAAUCCCGCGUAUAUCGGUUUCGGGCAUCCGAGAUCGAGGAAAGAUUCAUCGGAAGAGGAUGGGCAUGCGGCGCAUUAGCUAGACGGCGGGGUAACGGCUCACCGUGGCGACGAUGCGUAGGGGUUCUGAGAGGAAGGUCCCCCACACUGGUACUGAGACACGGACCAGACUCCUACGGGAGGCAGCAG
This 261-nucleotide ribosomal RNA is filed under the name uncultured bacterium. RNAcentral describes it as "partial 16S ribosomal RNA". It matches the Rfam family "Bacterial small subunit ribosomal RNA", at positions 92 to 354 of the family's 1533-position model. The record is from RNAcentral.